This is a long non-coding RNA of Magnolia sinica, 1588 nucleotides long. RefSeq lists it as uncharacterized. NCBI's taxonomy places the organism in Eukaryota, Viridiplantae, Streptophyta, Magnoliopsida, Magnoliales, Magnoliaceae. The transcript has 6 exons. The record is from RefSeq and is a predicted model, not a curated record.
UCCUUAAAGUUGCAUCAACCUCCUUGGAGGCUCCGCUCUCUGGACGUACAGGCCUCGUUAGGCUCGGCGCUCGAUGGACCUGAACUAUAUCAGUAGAGUUGGUCCAUUCUAUAAGCCGACUUGUUGACUUGUCCCAUUUUCCCCCAACAGUUUUUAUCUUGGGUUUUGCAUAGCAAAUAUUUGGCAUAAAACCUUGGUGAAAAGCUUUUUUAUCUCUUAACAUGCUCAUCUGCGGCCAGGGAUAGAAAACCUUUAGGAAAUCCUAAAAAACAUACUUUCUUUUGGAGAUAUUUCAAAGAAUAUAAAAUCAAGGUAUUGUAGGCCUACUAACAUGAUGAAGUUUUUCAUCUCUUGGCGAUGGGCAUCCUUGCCUUCAUAUGUAUUAAAUCUCUUGUUUUAAAAAGCUGAUGGUAGCAUUAUACCUGAGGACUUUCUCAUCUUGCAGUACUAUGGACAAGGCCCGUCUAAGGCUUGCUUCAACAAAAGCUGUCCUGUGCUGGUCAAAGUACUGGGAUAAAAAAAAAAAAAAAAAACCAAUUGAGUCUUUUAUUUGACUUUAAGAUAUCACAUUCUAGAGCUUUUCUUUCAUACAAAAGUUUGUUAGAAAUGUUUGUUUACUUGGCAUUGUAUUCCUGUUCUUAGUAUGAAGAUAAAAUGUGUGUAUUGUUCCAUUGCCUUUUGUUGUCUAAAAGCAGAUAAUGUUUGCUUAUCAGAUUGUAAUAUCUUUCCCACUAGUGGCAGCUGACUUUAUCUUGGCAAAUAGGAUGUCAAACCACAAGCUAGAAAGCUAUUCCUUAGCAAAAUACACCAAUACAUAAAGGAAAGGCUUCUGGAUGUGAAGUAUGCUUGUGGCUUCUUAUUCAGCAUAACUGGAUCCCAUUCACGCAAGUUUAAAGAGGUUCCUUCCAAUGUCAUAAGUUAUCAUCUACCUCCCUGUUUUGUAGCAUAGUUCCUGGAUCAUGAUGAGCAAAAUAUUAGAGUGCGGAAACAUAUGCCAUCUUUAGCCAUUACAAAACUAGGAAGCUAUUCCUCAGCAAAGUACUCCAAUAUAUAAAGGAAAGGCUUCUGGAUGCGAAGUAUGCAUGUGGCUUCUUAUUCAACGUAACUGGAUCCAUCCACUUGAGUUUAUAGAGGACAAACAUAACCUAAUGGAAGUUGUUCAAAUGUGUCACCGACUAAAGGCACUCCAACUUUCUAUGCAAUGUGAUGUGAACUCAUCCUCCACUUAUCUAGAAAAUAUUCUCACAUAUUUGCUCCUUGCACUUUCACAUCAUCCUUCAUGUCCUAAUGUUGAUGAAUGCAAGGAGGUUCAAGCAUUUGAAUCAAUUUACUGAUGUGAAGGUGGGCAAUCAGGAGUUUCCCAAAAAGGGAAAAGGAAAGUCUUUCUACAAUACUAUCUUCCAAAAUAUAAUGGGAAAGGUUUUAUGAAGGUGUUGUGCAAUCUUAUAACCCAGGAAAGAAGAAACAUGUGGUAAACUAUGAGACUUGUGUACUUCUCUUAAUUAUCCCUGUCCAAACUGUCCCCUUUCUUGAAGACUUGCUGAAUGAUAUUUGCUUCAAAGAUACUAUAUGACGAUGGAGAUGUGGA